Molecule: ribosomal RNA, 253 nt
Filed under: uncultured bacterium
Lineage: Bacteria
Description: partial 16S ribosomal RNA
Rfam family: Bacterial small subunit ribosomal RNA
Source: RNAcentral
UACGAAGGGUGCAAGCGUUGUUCGGAAUUACUGGGCGUAAAGCGCGCGUAGGCGGUUUGGUAAGUUGGAAGUGAAAUCCCGGGGCUUAACCUCGGAAUUGCUUUCAAAACUGCCAAGCUAGAGUAUGGUAGGGGGCAGUGGAAUUCCUAGUGUAGAGGUGAAAUUCGUAGAUAUUAGGAGGAACACCAGUGGCGAAAGCGACUGCCUGGGCCAUUACUGACGCUGAGGCGCGAAAGCGUGGGGAGCAAACAGG